UACGUAGGGGCGAGCGUUGUCCGGAUUUACUGGGCGUAAAGGGAGCGUAGGCGGACUUUUAAGUGAGAUGUGAAAUACCCGGGCUCAACUUGGGUGCUGCAUUUCAAACUGGAAGUCUAGAGUGCAGGAGAGGAGAAGGGAAUUCCUAGUGUAGCGGUGAAAUGCGUAGAGAUUAGGAAGAACACCAGUGGCGAAGGCGCUUCUCUGGACUGUAACUGACGCUGAGGCUCGAAAGCGUGGGGAGCAAACAGGAUUAGAUACCCCCGUAGUCCCUGA
Molecule: ribosomal RNA, 276 nt
Filed under: uncultured prokaryote
Description: partial 16S ribosomal RNA
Rfam family: Bacterial small subunit ribosomal RNA
Source: RNAcentral